GGUACGUACGCUGGCGGCGUGCCUAAUACAUGCAAGUCGAACGAACUCUGGUAUUGAUUGGUGCUUGCAUCAUGAUUUACAUUUGAGUGAGUGGCGAACUGGUGAGUAACACGUGGGAAACCUGCCCAGAAGCGGGGGAUAACACCUGGAAACAGAUGCUAAUACCGCAUAACAACUUGGACCGCAUGGUCCGAGUUUGAAAGAUGGCUUCGGCUAUCACUUUUGGAUGGUCCCGCGGCGUAUUAGCUAGAUGGUGGGGUAAUGGCUCACCAUGGCAAUGAUACGUAGCCGACCUGAGAGGGUAAUCGGCCACAUUGGGACUGAGACACGGCCCAAACUCCUACGGGAGGCAGCAGUAGGGAAUCUUCCACAAUGGACGAAAGUCUGAUGGAGCAACGCCGCGUGAGUGAAGAAGGGUUUCGGCUCGUAAAACUCUGUUGUUAAAGAAGAACAUAUCUGAGAGUAACUGUUCAGGUAUUGACGGUAUUUAACCAGAAAGCCACGGCUAACUACGUGCCAGCAGCCGCGGUAAUACGUAGGUGGCAAGCGUUGUCCGGAUUUAUUGGGCGUAAAGCGAGCGCAGGCGGUUUUUUAAGUCUGAUGUGAAAGCCUUCGGCUCAACCGAAGAAGUGCAUCGGAAACUGGGAAACUUGAGUGCAGAAGAGGACAGUGGAACUCCAUGUGUAGCGGUGAAAUGCGUAGAUAUAUGGAAGAACACCAGUGGCGAAGGCGGCUGUCUGGUCUGUAACUGACGCUGAGGCUCGAAAGUAUGGGUAGCAAACAGGAUUAGAUACCCUGGUAGUCCAUACCGUAAACGAUGAAUGCUAAGUGUUGGAGGGUUUCCGCCCUUCAGUGCUGCAGCUAACGCAUUAAGCAUUCCGCCUGGGGAGUACGGCCGCAAGGCUGAAACUCAAAGGAAUUGACGGGGGCCCGCACAAGCGGUGGAGCAUGUGGUUUAAUUCGAAGCUACGCGAAGAACCUUACCAGGUCUUGACAUACUAUGCAAAUCUAAGAGAUUAGACGUUCCCUUCGGGGACAUGGAUACAGGUAGGUGCAUGGUUGUCGUCAGCUCGUGUCGUGAGAUGUUGGGUUAAGUCCCGCAACGAGCGCAACCCUUAUUAUCAGUUGCCAGCAUUAAGUUGGGCACUCUGGUGAGACUGCCGGUGACAAACCGGAGGAAGGUGGGGAUGACGUCAAAUCAUCAUGCCCCUUAUGACCUGGGCUACACACGUGCUACAAUGGAUGGUACAACGAGUUGCGAACUCGCGAGAGUAAGCUAAUCUCUUAAAGCCAUUCUCAGUUCGGAUUGUAGGCUGCAACUCGCCUACAUGAAGUCGGAAUCGCUAGUAAUCGCGGAUCAGCAUGCCGCGGUGAAUACGUUCCCGGGCCUUGUACACACCGCCCGUCACACCAUGAGAGUUUGUAACACCCAAAGUCGGUGGGGUAACCUUUUAGGAACCAGCCGCCUAAGGUGGGACAGAUGAUUAGGGUGAAGUCGUAACAAGGUAGCCGUAGUCCUU
This 1520-nucleotide ribosomal RNA is filed under the name bacterium QHC9. RNAcentral describes it as "bacterial SSU rRNA". It matches the Rfam family "Bacterial small subunit ribosomal RNA". The record is from RNAcentral.